GUCAGUGUAGUGUAGUGGUUUGAGUGUUGAACUACAGCUCUGGAGACCAGGGUUCAAUUCCCAGCUCAGCCU
Phrynosoma platyrhinos (Desert horned lizard) is the source of this 72-nucleotide non-coding RNA. NCBI's taxonomy places the organism in Eukaryota, Metazoa, Chordata, Lepidosauria, Squamata, Phrynosomatidae. The record is from the annotation of a GenBank genome assembly.